GCUGGCGUAGCUUAGUGGUAAAGCAUCUGCAUGGUAAGUAGAAGACCGUGGGUUCAAUCCCCACCGCCAGCUCCA
This is a transfer RNA of 75 nucleotides. It matches the Rfam family "tRNA". Rfam says of the family: Transfer RNA (tRNA) molecules are approximately 80 nucleotides in length. Their secondary structure includes four short double-helical elements and three loops (D, anti-codon, and T loops).